GAAGAAGGUAAGUUAAAGGAGCGUGGAAUAAACACUUAGAAAGUUUCCAUGACAUCAGAAAGCGCCUGUUAAAGCAAGAUAUUAAAUUGGCUUUUGCAACCAAAGAUGUGCAGGCCGUGAGGGUGAGCACCAGGGCUGGAGGCCAGGAGGGAAGCCCAAUGCAUUGCUGACCCCAGGAAUCUCCUUUAUUAUCUGCCCUUUGUGCGCGUCCUCCUCGGCUGACCUGUCAGAUCAUUGAGGCCCCGUCACAGCCACCUACAUUAUAUCCUGUGUAGGCAGGACAUUCAUGCUUUUAGGGGUUUUUGUAGCCCCCCAUUGUCAUUCACGCACUGCUGAGAGCUGGGGCCGAGGAUGUGAGAAAGCUGGCCCCGGCAUUGUGUCCCUCUCCGCUCUUUACCAGCUCCACGGGGGACUUCCUUUUUAAUGUCGGGGUAAUCCGAGGGCCCGGGACCUGGCCACAGGCGAGCAGGGGUGGGGAGUUUGGUGGGCAGGGGCUUAAAUCUGCCCUAAUGGUGGGUUAAUGUAUCGCCGCGGUCCUGCCCGGUGAUCUGCGAGCUCACAGGUUUCAGCCACAGGGAUGUGCUGUACGCACGCGGAGAGAACGGCAGAAUUUACGAGCUCGGCCAAUGCCCUGAUGCAGGGACGCAGUCUUUUCAUGGGGUGCUUUAGGGUGUUUUGUCCUUAAAUUCGACUAAUGAACUUACCUAAACAUUGCUGUCUUUUACUAUGCAUCAUCUGCAGUAUUUGGUAUAUAACACCCAGACUACUGUGUCUGUGAAUACAGUUAUGAGGGAAAAGCAACAGGGCUUAAUAUCCUCAUAUAUCCAGUAUACAGAUGAAUACUUGAACAAUGUUUAAAUAUCCUGUUCAUAGUACAAUGCUUCACUUGGGAAUUUAAUCUGCAGCCUAUUGUUGAAGGCCAGACAUUUAACUGCUCCACAAAGCCACUGUAGGUACAUAUAUGUUUGUUUGCUGGGAGUAGAGGUGGUAAUAAGAGUUUAGUUAAAUUGAGGUCAGCAUUGUUGUGUGGCUAGUUUUAUGCUUUCCUACAGAUUGUGCUUUUAAACAUGAAAUUGCAAAGCACGCUUGCUGCGAAGUAUAUUGAGCUAAAAGGUCAAAGGUUACAGCGUAUGCAUGCACAGUAUUGACAUCCUGAAGUGAAUUCUGUACAGGUCACGGCGUAAGCAGCACGGCGCGAUGUCUGUGUGUGGCGUGAAGGCGGAAUUUCCCUGAGACGGCCGCGAUGGUUGUCACAGUGGGACCUGCUGCUGAUGUUAGGGAUGUCAGGAGCAUGCUGGGAUAAUCUCAUUAAGCGUGACUCCUCCGGCAUGUUUCCCAGCAAGGGAGAGCAGAGCUUUAUGAGGAGCUGACGUACCACACGCAAACUGCUCCUGUAUCCUGAGACGUGGACACACCAAGGGCGGGUUAAUGGCCUGACAGGGUCUGGCUUUAGUACGGCACAAUCUCUAAACGUUUGCUCAGGUUCAAUCAACAUUCACCAUUUUAUUUACUGAUAAAUGUCAGUUUUCUCCGCAGACAGUACAGCAGGUUAUUUUGGGGGGUAUGUGAAGUCAUUUAUGAGCGUGGUAGCAGUUGUUAUUUUUCCUGCUCAAAGGACAUCAUUUUUGCUUUCAUCUCAGCAUUUUUCGAUGCUAAAACAAAAUGUGUCUGGUUUUAUUCUUCUCAUUAGUAGGGCUGAUAAAACAAACACCGAAAUGCAGACAUUUAAGCAAUUAAUUCUCAGUCAUUUUAUUUAUUUUUACCUUUUUUGAUUGUACAAAGUAUUUCCAAAUUUUACAUGAAUUCUCCCAGUUUCUCCUGGAACUUCUAACACAUGCAAAAACUCAAGUUACAGUGAAGCAAGAAUCAUCUGCUUUUUGCCGGCAAAAGUUUAUGAUCUUAAAACUUUUUGAGCUGGGCAGACAGGAGCUUCAGCAGCAAUUAUAUCUUUUUUUAGGUCACUUGGACUAAACAGUAAUUUUCUUUGAAUGUGCUGCUUGCGAGAUGAAAGCAGGAGUUGGUCUCUUCACGUGUAGGAGGAUCUGUUUACAGGAGUUGACAGCUACAUGUGGUGGUACAAAGCUCAGUCAUUAGUUAAAAAAAGAAAAAUAAGAAAAAGCAAAUUGCACUUAAAGCUCUACCCACAUUGUUAUGACAGUCCCUGUCUCCUAUUAAAUGAUGUAAUUCAUUGUGCAUGUUUUUUCACUUUAGUGUAAAACAAACAGAUUCGAUCAUGUCGCAUGACUGGCACAAAACAUAUACAUUAAUUACUCGGUGUGUGGUUUGCACUCGGAACUGGUUUUAGUAAUCAAUUACAGCCUCACAUUUUUAGAAGAAAGUAGCCAUCUUUGCUGGAUGUAGAGAAAUGCUCCACCGUUGAGGUCCUUGUCAAUCAAUCAAAAUAAGUCUUUAUCUUUAGACACAUCAUCGCAGCAGUUAAAGCAAACAAAAACCUAUUAGUGAUUCUGAGCAGAACGAAAAUACAGAAGGAGGAGGUUAAAGCAAAAUAGCAAUGACUAACAAAGAGCAAUCCAUUGCAAAGCUGCAAUCAGCAGCUAAAGAUCAGCUGUCAGGAUGUGUUAUAUGCCACCAUUUCUAUAUGAAUAACAUCUUAGAAAAUAAACAAUUGUGGAUAAUUAUUUACAGACGCAGGUGCGCACACACAUGCAUACACACAUAUGCACUCACGCGCACACACACACACAUACACACAAACACACACACUCACACACACACACACACACACACACAUAUGCACUCACGCACAUGCACACACAGACACACACAUACACACACACACUCACACACACAUACACACAUGCAUAUAUUGUUCCUAAGUUACAUUACAUUAUAUUCAGUUCCAAUGUCAUAAUUAUCUUUACAAAACAGAACAAUGAAAAUUAUUGAGCCGUAAUAAUUUAUCCUUUGACCAUCUUAUUCGUAUGUAACUAACAGCAGCCAUAAUAAUCACUGCCUUUAGAAAAUACAGUCAAAAGAAUCCCACUCUUUGCUGCAAUAAAAAAUAUGUGUUAUGGAUCCUGGAUGUUACAUUUUUAAUAUCAGUGUGUGCCUAAGCAAUGCUGAUAUAAAAUAAUAUGUUUAAAUAUACAAUAAGGAAAUCAACAUUCUCUUAAAUUGGUUUCUGAAAGUGCAUUAUGAUGAGAAUCUGCAGCUUUGCACAACCUGUCCUCUCAGGUCACACUGUAGUACUUGAAACAGGUUCAUUUGCUUUAGGUAUGCUAUGUGGAGUGGUUUGGUAAUUUUCCAGAGCUUCAAAUUCAGAUUCCACCUUGUCCAUCAGCCACAGUAAAACAUACCUAAUUAUGGAUCCAAUCUCCCUUCCUCGUUAACUGUUCUCCGGGGAAUUCCAAACAACCUCUCACCUCAGGCAGCGCUAUCAAAACAUUGUAGAAAUGUCAGUUCAAUGGGACCGCGAAAUGCAAACAGCACUCAGCACACAGAGAAUCCUGACUAAAACCACUGCCAAAUCUACAGAGCAUCCACCAGAUGAAGACUAGUGCCAGAGCUACCAAUGUACAUCGUGUCCAUUUAGCAGACAGGCUAUUUUUAUUAGAUUCAAACAAUGAUUUGCAAAUCGUCAAGCAGUCACCAUUAUUUUUAGGCGGUCACAGGCCUGCAACACAUGCACAUCAAAAUACGGGUGAUCCUUAUGUGUUGACACAGCCAGCCAAAUUAAGAUAAAAUGGAAUUAAACUAGAAUAUUAAAGUAUUUAUUGUGAAGAUACAUUUCUGAUGUAAUUAUGUCAUAACAUCAACCCUCAUAUGAAAUGCUGCCUUAAAUUGCCUUGGUGGUUGCUAAUUUAUUGUUUUGUUGCCCCUGUCUCUAAUACAUUAUCUUUUUGUUCUUUUACUUUCUUCUCGGUUUAUGUAUGUAAAUAUUAAUUCAAACUGUCCUGAACUUCAUGACUUCACAGUGAUUCAUUAAAUUAAUCAUAAUGCUAUACUAUAGAAAGAAGGAAGGGAGUAAAAAUAAAGAAAAUACAUUCUCAUGCCAGUCUGUAAAUUUAAAUUACUACAGACAUCUUAGAAGCCAGACUCAGUGAGGCUGAGAUCUUUUUUAUUAAGCUAAAUACAAUGUAAAAUCAGUUUGAAAAUAUGUCCUGAUGGUUCAGACAAAUGCCAAAACAGAAUCAGAACAUUGGACUGAUAAAAUUAUGGUUCUAGUGAAGCUCACCAGAAGAUAUUUUGUUGUAACCCAGACUGAUUUCAUUAAUAGAUGCAAUGAGGUGUCAAAUCCCAUUGACAGCUGGAAUGAAGCUUCAUUUAGCCUGGCCUGGUCUGCCUUUCUUUGUCCACUACUAUGCAGGAGCUGUAUACCUCCAGAAGUAAAAAUCCUACUAAGAACACUUGAGAAUUCUGAUCCAGGGGAAGCAGGGCACUGGGCUGAAAGCAGAUGAGAGAUGAGAGGAAUCAGAGAGUAGAGCACCAAAAACAAAUGCUCAAUGCACCCAUUUAACAAAAGACCUGAAGGGCCUGGCACUGACAUGCCAGCCAAACAACUAUGCCACACGCCCUCAGAGAAACAAUAUUUUAUAUUCCUGAUUUAAUCAGUCUUUUCGCUCCCCCAGCCUGAAAUCACACGCACACGCAUGCACGCACACACACACGCUUAUGUUAGAAAAAGAUACAUGUUUGUUUGGCCUGUCACUCCGUCCGGUGGUCUGUGGCCUUCCAAGGAUUCCAUAUCUCAGGGGGAUUUCGAGGAAAGUCAUUUCAGUUGGAAAUCUUCCUCGGCAGAGCGCGGCACUUCAUCAAGGGUGAAGACUCCCUGGCUAUCAGCGAUGUAUCUGUCCGUCUGAUAAAGCCCUCACCCUAGUCCCUGCACUGGAACUUCCCAUCAUAAAUAAAGCCCUGUAGAAAGGGGGCCUUUGUCACUGUUUAUCUGCCUGGUCUUUCUUCCUCGCCCUUGAUUUCCUCUUCAGAAAAUUGAUGCACCCUUAAAUUGAAGCGGGGGGACUUGACAGGUAAUGGUUAGCGUGAUAACUGCUCAGAUUUCAUCAGCCAGCGUUUUUUUUUUCUUUUUUUUAUCUGUGGGUGCAAUUGUAGGAACUUUCAGCUAGAUUACCUGUCAGCUAGUGCAUCAGAUAAAAAAGACGUGCUGCGUAGAUGCUGGCACUGUCAGCACUGAUAGGGAGAGAAGAGGCCCGGGGUGGGAGUGGAGCAGUGCACAGAAAAUCAGGAACGGGAUUUUAUCUCUGGAUAUCAGGCUUUUAUUAUCUGGAUAAAGGUGUCUGCCAAAUAAAUACAUAAAUGAAUAAUAUCACCAAAUACUGCUAUGAAAUAGCUCUCCUUUGAGUGGUGAAUGUUAUAUUUAUUUCUAUGAUUUUACCUCUUUUCGUUUCAAUGGCAGGAGCCAUGCUAGAUCUUAAAUUUGGUGAGAAAGUACCGUAUUUGAAAUGUAUUUCCAGGUCCGUCUUCUGCAGAACAAUUAUUUAUCACUGUGGCUUUUCAUGAUGGCAAAACUGUUUUUAGGUUCUUUUAAUAUUUGGAUGAAUUUUUAGUAUGAUUAUUUGAACAUACAAUUCAGUUAUGUGAUAUGUAUGCUUCAACUAAGAUUUUUGAUGGAUUUUGAUAGAAGUAAAUGUGAAUAAAUUAUUCUGCUCGUUGAUGCAUUUGCUGUUUUUUCCACGACGUGCAGGAACUGCCACCAUGGGCUAUGCAUGGCAAAUUGUGGUCACUCACUCACUCACUCACUCACUCACGGACGACCUGUGGGACGCAUGCGCAGG
Anguilla anguilla (European eel) is the source of this 5750-nucleotide long non-coding RNA. RefSeq lists it as uncharacterized. The record is from RefSeq and is a predicted model, not a curated record. NCBI's taxonomy places the organism in Eukaryota, Metazoa, Chordata, Actinopteri, Anguilliformes, Anguillidae. The transcript is spliced from 3 exons.